AGUCCUUCCCACAGAGAGCGGUUUGAUAUGUCACUGAAACCAGCAUCCAGGUGGUAUUGCUCCAUAUGCCUGAGACCCUAACAAAAGCCUAAUUACAACUCAUAUGCCUGGAGCCAGGACAUGUGCAGGAUGGUGAUGUAACUUUCCUCUCUGGAAUGGGUCCUGCACAAAGGAAUGAUAGUAACAUAUUGCAAAGCCAGACACACAGCCAUGAUGGUCCAAGUUAUAUUGGGAUUCAGCCAAUAGAAGAUAUUUUGCCUGUCAUCCCUAAGCUUAGGACAAUAGGGUCCUGCCCACAAGAAAGAUUGUGACAUCUCACUGGACAAGCACCCACCCAGACUCUGCCAAGAGAGGGGAUUAUUACAUAUUGCAGAGCCCAGCACCUAGGUGGAGUGACUCUCAUCUUUUUCUUCUACCCCGUAUAUAGCCAGCUUGGUGACCUACUAUUUGAGUCUAUACCCAGGCCCAGACCACAGAUGAAAUUGUGCAAUAUGUGGAACAAACACCUAAACAAUAUAUAACACCUUCCUUGGCUCUGUCUACAAAGGGCACUUUUAUAUAUCACUGGGACCAUCAACCAGGUGAUGUUAAUUAUCUUCCUGAAACCUGUCUACAAAGAGAGUUGUGUCGUAUACCUAGGCCCGUCAUGUAAGUGAUGUCAGUCCCUUCUACUGCCUUGGCCCUGCACUUACAGUGCAUUGUGACACAUAACAAGGUACUGCACACAGACGAUGUGAUUCUCCUUUUUGGGUUCUGCCAAAAGGAAGCAUUGUAAUAAAUCGCUUGGCUCAGUACCAAGGUGAUGUUUCUUUGCUUUUGCCUGGGCCCUGAUAACAGGGAGAUUGUGAUCUAUUGCUGGGCCCAACAAAAAUGUGAGGUCACUCUCCAGCCGUGGUACUUCACAUAAGCGCCAUUGUGACAUGUAUCUAGGCCAAUUGCCUAGGUGAAGUGAGUUUCCUCUCUUGCCAAAGUCCUGCCCACAGAGGGGGUUUUGAUAUGUCACUGAAAUCAGCAUUCAGGUGAUGUGACUCUUCUGCCAGGGUCCUGCGUACUAGGUGGAUUGUGACAUCUCACUGGACCCGCAACCAUGUAGGUCAUGUGACUUUCAUGCCUUCUCACUGGCCACAGGUGAUGUUGUGCCAUAUAACUGAGACCGUAUCAAAAGCCUAAUAACAAGACGUAUGUCUGGAGCCCCGAUAUGCACAGGAUGGUGAUAUAACCCUCUUCUCUGGAAUGGGCCCCACACAAAGGAAGGAUAGUGACAUAUUGCAAGCCCAGGCACACAGGCCCAGAGCACAGUUGAAAUUGUGACAUAUGUACACCAAGCAACCAAGCAAUGUAUAACACCUCAUUUGGCAAUGGAAUCGAGGGCACUUUUACAUAUCACUGAGACCAGCGCCCAGCUGAUGUGAAAUAUUGGCCUGAACCCUGCCUACAAAAGCAUUGUGGCUUUUAUCUAGCUCCAUUACAUAAGUGAUGUGACUUCC
RNAcentral lists this long non-coding RNA (1487 nucleotides) under Homo sapiens (human). RNAcentral's name for it is "non-protein coding LINC00293:8". The record is from RNAcentral. Lineage: Eukaryota; Metazoa; Chordata; Mammalia; Primates; Hominidae.